RNAcentral lists this ribosomal RNA (1481 nucleotides) under metagenome. RNAcentral's name for it is "bacterial LSU rRNA". It matches the Rfam family "Bacterial large subunit ribosomal RNA", at positions 1456 to 2925 of the family's 2925-position model. The record is from RNAcentral.
UUCAAGCGAUGGGGUGACGCAGGAAGGUAGCUGGGCCAGUCAGUGGUUGUACUGGUGUAAGAGUGUAGGCCGUGACAUAGGCAAAUCCGUGUCACAUUAAGGCUGAGACUUGAUGCAUACCCGUUGUGGGGAAUUCAGUGAUCCUAUGCUGCCGAGAGAAGCCUCUAGUGAGUUCAUACACGGCCCGUACCCCAAACCGACACAGGUGAUCAGGUAGAGAAUACCAAGGCGAUCGAGAGAACUGUGGUUAAGGAACUCGGCAAAAUGCCCCCGUAACUUCGGGAGAAGGGGGACCAUGCCCGGUGAACAUCUUCACGGUGGGAGCUGGGUGUGGUCGCAGAGACCAGAGAGAAGCGACUGUUUACUAAAAACACAGGUCCGUGCGAAGACGUAAGUCGAUGUAUACGGACUGACGCCUGCCCGGUGCUGGAAGGUUAAGAAGACCGGUUAGCCGUAAGGCGAAGCUGAGAAUUUAAGCCCCAGUAAACGGCGGUGGUAACUAUAACCAUCCUAAGGUAGCGAAAUUCCUUGUCGGGUAAGUUCCGACCUGCACGAAUGGCGUAACGACUUCUCUGCUGUCUCGACCACAGACUCGGCGAAAUUGCACUACGAGUAAAGAUGCUCGUUACGCGCGGCAGGACGAAAAGACCCCGGGACCUUUACUAUAGCUUGGUAUUGGCGUUCGAUUCGGUUUGUGUAGGAUAGGUGGGAGACUGUGAAGCAUGCACGCCAGUGUGUGUGGAGUCGUUGUUGAAAUACCACUCUGAUCGUAUUGGACGUCUAACCUCGGCCCAUGAUCUGGGUUAGGGACAGUGCCUGGUGGGUAGUUUAACUGGGGCGGUUGCCUCCUAAAGAGUAACGGAGGCGCCCAAAGGUUCCCUCAGCCUGGAUGGCAAUCAGGUGUUGAGUGCAAGUGCACAAGGGAGCUUGACUGUGAGACUGACACGUCGAGCAGGGACGAAAGUCGGGACUAGUGAUCCGGCACCGGCAAGUGGAAGCGGUGUCGCUCAACGGAUAAAAGGUACCCCGGGGAUAACAGGCUGAUCUUCCCCAAGAGUCCAUAUCGACGGGAUGGUUUGGCACCUCGAUGUCGGCUCGUCGCAUCCUGGGGCUGGAGUAGGUCCCAAGGGUUGGGCUGUUCGCCCAUUAAAGCGGCACGCGAGCUGGGUUUAGAACGUCGUGAGACAGUUCGGUCUCUAUCCGCCGCGCGCGUAAGAAACUUGAGGAAGGCUGUCCCUAGUACGAGAGGACCGGGACGGACGAACCUCUGGUGUGCCAGUUGUUCCACCAGGAGCAUGGCUGGUUAGCUACGUUCGGAAGGGAUAACCGCUGAAAGCAUCUAAGCGGGAAGCCUGUUCCAAGAUGAGGUUUCUCACCACCUUGCGUGGUUAAGGCCCCCUACAGACCAUGGGGUUGAUAGGCCGGAACUGGAAGCGCAGCAAUGCGUGGAGGUGACCGGUACUAAUAGGCCGAGGGCUUAC